This 1218-nucleotide ribosomal RNA is filed under the name Triticum aestivum (bread wheat). RNAcentral's name for it is "partial small subunit ribosomal RNA". The record is from RNAcentral. Lineage: Eukaryota; Viridiplantae; Streptophyta; Magnoliopsida; Poales; Poaceae.
AUGGAGGCAAAUAAAAUAUACGAGCUAGGAAAAGGAUUGACUUACGCAGAAUUCCCUACAAAGUUUGUAUGGAAAAGCGAAACAAAAUGUUGGCAGAAGCGAAAAAGGGACUAUGCAAUUGGAAGAAUCUACUAUGCACAUCCCGCAAGUGGCGAGAGAUAUCAUACGAGGAUGCUUCUAAACACCAAGAAAGGAUGCACAUCAUUUGAGGACAUUAGCACCGUUGAUGGAGUCAUUCACCCAACAUACAAAUCAGCAUGCCAAGCCCUCGGAUUUCUCGAUGAUGACACCGAGUGGAUUGACUGUAUCAAUGAAGCAUUAAGUUGGGCGUCCGGAACACAACUGCGUCAGUUAUUCACCACCAUAUUGACCCAUUGCGAAGUCACAAACCCAAAGGUAUUGUGGGAUUCAACAUGGGAGGCGUUGUGUGAAGAUAUGCAAUACAAAAGAAGGACUAUUCUAAACUUUCCAACACUUCGGCUUACAAACACACAGAAGAAAGCGUAUGGUCUGAUUGAGAUAGAAAAACUGACGAGGCAAGUAGGAAAGUCACUAAAGGACUACCCAGACAUAGAACUACCAAAUGCCGCAGAGCUAGAAGAACUUGGGAACAGACUAAUAAACGAAGAGGUCAACCACGACAUGGACAAACUCAAGGAUGAGCACAAAAUCAUACUAAACAAUCUUAACCAAGACCAGAAAAAGGCCUAUGAUGCAAUAAUGGAGUCAGUCAACAAAGGCCUAGGAAAGCAGAUAUUUGUCGAAGGGUACGGUGGCACAGGAAAAACCUAUCUAUGGAAAGCAAUAACGACAAAGCUAAGAUCAGAGGGGAAGAUAGUGCUUGCGGUAGCAUCAUGUGGCAUUGCAGCGUUGCUUCUUCAAGGUGGAAGAACGGCACACUCAAGGUUCCAUAUUCCACUUAAUAUCAGUGAAGAAUCAACAUGUGAAAUAAAACAAGGCUUGCAUUUGGCUGAACUGCUAAAGAAGACCUCACUUAUAUUGUGGGACGAGGCUCCUAUGGCAAACAAACACUGCUUCGAGGCACUAGACAAAAGCCUUAGAGAUAAUCUAAGGUUCACUAAUGAAAACAGCGAUGAAAAGCCAUUUGGUGGAAUGACAGUUAUACUAGGAGGCGACUUCAGACAAAUCCUGCCAGUUAUAACCAAAGGAAGGAGAGAGCAGAUAGUAAAUGCUUCAAUCAAAAGGUCAUAUCUGUGA